UGCAUCGUGAGCGAGGGGGAGAACCAUGUAGGGCAGCAACGGAAUGAGUCCACCAACAGCAUACGAUAGCCCAAUGGCCGCCGCUGAUCGGAGGGGCCUCUUAGGAUC
This 108-nucleotide non-coding RNA is filed under the name Compsopogon caeruleus. The record is from RNAcentral. Lineage: Eukaryota; Rhodophyta; Compsopogonophyceae; Compsopogonales; Compsopogonaceae.